CGGGGGUGAGUAAACACGUGAGUAAACCCUGCCCCUUGACUCUGGAAAUAAACUCCGGGAAACCGGGGGCUAAUACUGGAUAUGACACAUGGCCGCAUGGUCUGUGUGUGGAAAGUUUUUCGGUUGAGGAUGGACUCGCGGCCUAUCAGCUUGUUGGUGAGGUAGUGGCUUACCAAGGCGAUGACGGGUAGCCGGCCUGAGAGGGCGACCGGCCACACUGGGACUGAGACACGGCCCAGACUCCUACGGGAGGCAGCAGUGGGGAAUAUUGCACAAUGGGCGAAAGCCUGAUGCAGCGACGCCGCGUGAGGGAUGACGGCCUUCGGGUUGUAAACCUCUUUCAGCAGGGAAGAAGCGCAAGUGACGGUACCUGCAGAAGAAGCACCGGCUAACUACGUGC
Molecule: ribosomal RNA, 400 nt
Filed under: uncultured Candidatus Saccharibacteria bacterium
Lineage: Bacteria; Candidatus Saccharimonadota
Description: bacterial SSU rRNA
Rfam family: Bacterial small subunit ribosomal RNA
Source: RNAcentral